RNAcentral lists this long non-coding RNA (481 nucleotides) under Salmo salar (Atlantic salmon). Its description in RNAcentral is "lncRNA (ENSSSAG00000116363.1)". Lineage: Eukaryota; Metazoa; Chordata; Actinopteri; Salmoniformes; Salmonidae. The record is from RNAcentral.
GUUUUGUAUAUUGCAACAGUCCUAGGAAUGUAUUGAGCCAUGCUACCAAUACAGUGCGAGACCCCUUUCCCUAGCCCAAACAAACAGCAUAUCAUCAUAGAAAGUGUUUAUGUAGUGUUGGCAAAACAUUACAUGGAGAUAAGGGAUUGGAGAUUGAAUGGGAUCAUACCUGCAUCCAACCCACAACAGCCAGCCAGGGCCUAAUGUGAUGCCUCACGCUGCCUUUCCUGCUGCAGAGAGCACAGAGACAGUCAAAGAGACGGCUUCCGCCAAGACCAGCAAAACCACAAGCAGCAGCAGAAAUCACCCCCUCCUCUUCCUCCCUGCGUCUCCAUGUCUCAGGAAGGGGUGGCCAUGGUCCCCCCUCCAGCCAGGCCAACCUCCACCCUGCUCCAGCCGUGCCACUCCAUUUCUGAGGAUGCUCAGAGGGUCCUCCGGAAGGUCUAAUGACAUGAGAAUGUUUAACCCUCUCCUGCAACAG